Molecule: ribosomal RNA, 253 nt
Filed under: uncultured bacterium
Lineage: Bacteria
Description: partial 16S ribosomal RNA
Rfam family: Bacterial small subunit ribosomal RNA
Source: RNAcentral
UACGUAGGUGGCGAGCGUUGUCCGGAAUUACUGGGUGUAAAGCGCGUGUAGGCGGGAGGCCAAGUCUGUGGUGAAAUCGCUCGGCUUAACUGGGCGGGGUCCAUGGAAACUGGUCACCUGGAGGUCGGUAGAGGCAAGUGGAAUUCCCGGUGUAGUGGUGAAAUGCGUAGAGAUCGGGAGGAACACCAGUGGCGAAGGCGGCUUGCUGGGCCGAUACUGACGCUGAGGAGCGAAAGCGUGGGGAGCGAACAGG